GGCUCAAUUGUUACAUUACUUCAGCUGCUAAAAUAUGAUUAUAGUCCAGAAAGAUGAAAUAAAAGGCAAAAAGGCCUAUGUAAUUCUUGCAAUAAUCUAGCGUCAAAUUACAUUGAAAUAGUUUAUCUGAAUAAAAAGAGUGAUGUUAUUUUCAUUUGCACCAUACGAAAUUGAACCAUAGUCUACUACAAUAAGCUUCUUAAGUCCUAAUUGAAAUUUACCAAUACACUGCUGUUGCAUUUAUGGAUGGUCACGGCUUGAACUUGGAUUUUUUUUUACUUGCUUUGGUCCCUGCUUGAAUUAAAUAGAUGAUGUACCCCUGCUUCUUCAUUGUUGUUGAUCCAUUCACAGUAAUCAUUGUAGAGCCAAAAAGCUUACUCUUGCCUCUAGAAAAGAAGACCAGGACAAAUAAAUAGGAAAUGCUAUAAUUCACUUUUGUUAUCUUGAUGAUAAAACAUUCCAUUAGAACAAGCUAAAGUGACUUCUAUGCUUCAUCCUUGGUAUAUUUAGAGAGAUUCUACGUGCUAGAAAUAGGAUACUCUUCCCAGUGUGUGCCCCAUAUGGUACCAACCGCACAUUCCAAGAGGAAGUGUUACUUCUUUGUUUAUUUAUGAGUUGAAUUAAUUUGUUCAUUGUGAUGGAUUCCUUGUCAAGUCAUGCAUAGACACACUUAAAUUAGGUUAAUUGGUAGGGUAAUAUUCGAGGGGAAUUAUACUUGACUAGGGAUGCCCAUAAACAAUACUGAAUCAUCGAAAUUUAACAUCUACUGUGCUCUCCCCCUCGCUUUCUCUCUCUCUUUCUCUCUGCUUCUUUUUUAGCUCAAAAAGAGAAUCACAAUAGAGGCAACAUUUUUUUGAAAACUUAAAAGCAUAUAUAUUUAGAGAUAUGAAUGUUUCAUUCUAUAUGUAGUUGUAAUUGGGGAAAAUAUUGGUUGAUGUUGCUUUAAAUGUCAUAGAUGCUUAUUUUGCAAUUGCAUCUCCAACUGCUAUUUUACUGAUGACUUGACUCUUUAAUUUCUUUCUUGCUCGAUAUCAAUGCAUAGGUGGCCAUGCUUGCAAAACAAU
RNAcentral lists this unclassified non-coding RNA (1064 nucleotides) under Hevea brasiliensis (rubber tree). The record is from RNAcentral. Lineage: Eukaryota; Viridiplantae; Streptophyta; Magnoliopsida; Malpighiales; Euphorbiaceae.